RNAcentral lists this ribosomal RNA (553 nucleotides) under uncultured Glomus. RNAcentral's name for it is "eukaryotic LSU rRNA". The stretch from base 158 to 311 matches the Rfam family "5.8S ribosomal RNA". Lineage: Eukaryota; Fungi; Glomeromycota; Glomeromycetes; Glomerales; Glomeraceae. The record is from RNAcentral.
GGAAGUAAAAGUCGUAACAAGGUUUCCGCAGGUGAACCUGCGGAAGGAUCAUUACUGAUUUAGCGAACCGAGCGUUAGCGAGGUUUUGCGAUCGCUUAUAUUUAAAACCCACUCUUGAACGUAUAAAAUUUUAUGUAUUAAUGGUAAAAAUAAAGAUCACUUUCAACAACGGAUCUCUUGGCUCUCGCAUCGAUGAAGAACGUAGCGAAGUGCGAUAAGUAAUGUGAAUUGCAGUAUUCCGUGAAUCACCGAAUCUUUGAACGCAAAUUGCACUUUCUGGUAUUCCGGAAAGUAUGCCUGUUUGAGGGUCAGUUAAAUAAAAAUCGGUGUUGUUGCCGCUUUCCGUGGUGACGCGUCGGAAUUGAGUCGUCUUCGGUUAAGUGACUUAAAAUUUUAUAUGAUUUUCGAACGUAUUUAAAUUUAUUUGAACGUUUGAUAUCGAAUGCUUAUUAGGUUCGGUCAUCCUCAUGACUCGCGCCUAUAAUUUUUCAUUAAAUGACCUCAAAUCAGGUAAGAAUACCCGCUGAACUUAAGCAUAUCAAUAAGCGGAGGA